UACGUAGGGUGCAAGCGUUGUUCGGAAUCAUUGGGCGUAAAGCGCGUGUAGGUUGCUAUGUAAGUCGAAUGUGAAAUCCCUGGGCUCAACCGAGGAAGUGCAUCCGAAACUACAUAGCUCGAGAACGGUAGAGGAAGGUGGAAUUCCAAGUGUAGAGGUGAAAUUCGUAGAUAUUUGGAGGAAUACCGGUGGCGAAGGCGGCCUUCUGGACCGGUUCUGACACUGAGACGCGAAAGCGUGGGUAGCAAACAGG
RNAcentral lists this ribosomal RNA (253 nucleotides) under uncultured bacterium. RNAcentral's name for it is "partial 16S ribosomal RNA". It matches the Rfam family "Bacterial small subunit ribosomal RNA", at positions 524 to 776 of the family's 1533-position model. The record is from RNAcentral.